GCUCCCAUAGCUCAGUCGGUAGAGCACCCGCCUGUUAAGCGGUUGGUCGUAGGUUCAAGUCCUUCUGGGAGCG
Molecule: transfer RNA, 73 nt
Filed under: Bacillus phage vB_BanS-Thrax1
Lineage: Duplodnaviria; Heunggongvirae; Uroviricota; Caudoviricetes
Rfam family: tRNA
About the family: Transfer RNA (tRNA) molecules are approximately 80 nucleotides in length. Their secondary structure includes four short double-helical elements and three loops (D, anti-codon, and T loops). Further hydrogen bonds mediate the characteristic L-shaped molecular structure. tRNAs have two regions of fundamental functional importance: the anti-codon, which is responsible for specific mRNA codon recognition, and the 3' end, to which the tRNAs corresponding amino acid is attached (by aminoacyl-tRNA synthetases). tRNAs cope with the degeneracy of the genetic code in two manners: having more than one tRNA (with a specific anti-codon) for a particular amino acid; and 'wobble' base-pairing, i.e. permitting non-standard base-pairing at the 3rd anti-codon position.
Source: Rfam by way of RNAcentral